AGUGAACGCUGGCGGUAGGCCUAACACAUGCCAGUCGAACGGCAGCACAGUAAGAGCUUGCUCUUACGGGUGGCGAGUGGCGGACGGGUGAGGAAUACAUCGGAAUCUACUUUUUCGUGGGGGAUAACGUAGGGAAACUUACGCUAAUACCGCAUACGACCUACGGGUGAAAGCAGGGGAUCUUCGGACCUUGCGCGAUUGAAUGAGCCGAUGUCGGAUUAGCUAGUUGGCGGGGUAAAGGCCCACCAAGGCGACGAUCCGUAGCUGGUCUGAGAGGAUGAUCAGCCACACUGGAACUUAGACACGGUCCAGACUCCUACGGGAGGCAGCAGUGGGGAAUAUUGGACAAUGGGCGGAAGCCUGAUCCAGGCAUACCGCGUGGGUGAAGAAGGCCUUCGGGUUGUAAAGCCCUUUUGUUGGGAAAGAAAAGCAGCAGGUUAAUACCCCGCUGUUCUGACGGUACCCAAAGAAUAAGCACCGGCUAACCUCGUG
RNAcentral lists this ribosomal RNA (492 nucleotides) under uncultured bacterium. RNAcentral describes it as "partial 16S ribosomal RNA". It matches the Rfam family "Bacterial small subunit ribosomal RNA", at positions 29 to 507 of the family's 1533-position model. The record is from RNAcentral.